UGGGGAAUAUUGCACAAUGGGCGCAAGCCUGAUGCAGCCAUGCCGCGGGUAUGAAGAAGGCCUUCGGGUUGUAAAGUACUUUCAGCGGGGAGGAAGGUGUUGUGGUUAAUAACCACAGCAAUUGACGUUACCCGCAGAAGAAGCACCGGCUAACUCCGUGCCAGCAGCCGCGGUAAUACGGAGGGUGCAAGCGUUAAUCGGAAUUACUGGGCGUAAAGCGCACGCAGGCGGUCUGUCAAGUCGGAUGUGAAAGCCCCGGGCUCAACCUGGGAACUGCAUCCGAAACUGGCAGGCUUGAGUCUUGUAGAGGGGGGUAGAAUUCCAGGUGUAGCGGUGAAAUGCGUAGAGAUCUGGAGGAAUACCGGUGGCGAAGGCGGCCCCCUGGACAAAGACUGACGCUCAGGUGCGAAAGCGUGGGGAGCAAACA
RNAcentral lists this ribosomal RNA (427 nucleotides) under uncultured bacterium. RNAcentral describes it as "partial 16S ribosomal RNA". It matches the Rfam family "Bacterial small subunit ribosomal RNA", at positions 355 to 774 of the family's 1533-position model. The record is from RNAcentral.